CGGCGGGUCAGAGGUCGGCGCUCGGGACGACCCUGAGGGGGUGGCGUCGCUCCAGGACUGCGCAAGGUGCGGAGGUGGCCAGGCACGUGCGAUGGACCACGUUGUGGAUUGAGCGGCCCUUCCAGCGCUCGUCGCCUGCUGAAGCUGGAGUGGCGGGAGAUUGGGCUCGAUCUGGAGGGCUCGUGGGAGACGUUCUGCCAGGUCGUAUGGGACGCGGUGCGGCGGUCGGGAGCUCGGCGAAUGGCGGAGGCGAGUGAUUGCCAUUAGCCAACGCCGUGGGGCCGCGACGCUCCUAGCCUGGUCGUCAGCGGAGCGUGUCGUUGAGCCCCAGCACUUGAAGGCGGCUCAACUCUGGACAGGCGGCGGCGCCUCUGUCUUAAGUGGACGGCUGCUCCGGCGCCGGCGGUGCGCCCGGCAGACACUUCUUCAAGGAGUGGACCUCCGCACCACCACCGCGCGGGAGCUCUGGUCACGCUCGAAGCGGACAUUGGCUUGCCCCGAGAGUGUUGGCUGGAUCUGGGUGGACAGCCAUUUGACGGACAAGCACAAGAGGGAUCUCACCUGACUGCGAAGCCGGAGAAGGGCUCUGCCGUCCCUCGGCUGCUGUUGAGUGACGGUGUUUCGUUGAGCCGACCAUAUCUUACCGCGCCGUCAGAACAUGAUAGUGUUCGGGCUUCUGUUGGUGCUGGGAGCAAUGUCCGCGGCGGACGAUAUCUCAAGCCUGUACGGGAAGCAGAAAGCAGGCCAGCUGACGCAGGAGUACGCCGUGGUCGG
Pollicipes pollicipes is the source of this 774-nucleotide long non-coding RNA. RefSeq lists it as uncharacterized. NCBI's taxonomy places the organism in Eukaryota, Metazoa, Arthropoda, Thecostraca, Pollicipedomorpha, Pollicipedidae. The transcript has 3 exons. The record is from RefSeq and is a predicted model, not a curated record.